UACGAAGGGUGCAAGCGUUAAUCGGAAUUACUGGGCGUAAAGCGUGCGUAGGCGGCUUUUUAAGUCGGAUGUGAAAUCCCCGGGCUCAACCUGGGAAUGGCAUCCGAUACUGGGGAGCUAGAGUUUGGGAGAGGGUGGUGGAAUUCCCGGUGUAGCGGUGAAAUGCGUAGAGAUCGGGAGGAACAUCAGUGGCGAAGGCGGCCACCUGGCCUAAAACUGACGCUGAGGCACGAAAGCGUGGGGAGCAAACAGGAUUAGAAACCCGUGUAGU
RNAcentral lists this ribosomal RNA (271 nucleotides) under uncultured bacterium. Its description in RNAcentral is "partial 16S ribosomal RNA". It matches the Rfam family "Bacterial small subunit ribosomal RNA", at positions 524 to 794 of the family's 1533-position model. The record is from RNAcentral.